ACUUACAGUAUUUUAUUUAAUAUAUAUAUAAAAAUAAACUUUACAUCCAACCACCACUUUGGCUUUGAAGCCACUGCCUGAUAUUGGCACUUCGUAGAUGUAGUGUGACUAUUCUUAUACGUCUCUAUCUACUGAUGAGGAUCCUACUCUUUUAGUAUAAACAGCACCAUUGACUUUCAAUCAACUAGUUUCGAUAAUAUCUGAAACAGAUUAACCUGACACUAGCCUUAGUAACCAACACCUUACUGACCCUACUAGUAAUAAUAAUUACAUUUUGACUUCCACAACUUAAUAUUUAUAUAGAUAAAUCCAGUCCCUAUGAAGGCAGAUUUGACCCAAUAACCUCCAACCGCCUCCCCUUUUCCAUAAAAUUCUUCCUGGUAGCCAUCAUAUUUCUCCUCUUCGACUUAGAAAUCGCUCUACUACUACCCCUGCCAUGAGCUGUUCAAACAAAUUACCUAAUACUAAUAAUCACCACAGGCCUUAUACUAGUUAUCAUUUUAAUCCUAGGCUUAAUUACAAAUGAACUCAAAAAGGGUUAGAUUGAAUUGGUAAAUAGUUUAAGUCAAAACAAAUGAUUUAGACUCAUUAGAUUAUGAUAAACCAUAUUUGCCAAAUGCCCUCUAUUUACAUCAAUAUUAGCAUAUACCAUAUCACUACUGGGAAUAUUAAUCUAUGAAUCCCACCUAAUAUCAUCCCUAUAUGCCUAGAAGGCAUAAUACUGUCAAUAUUUAUCAUAAUUACCCUUAUAACUUUAAAUAUGCAUUUUACUCUAGCAUCUAUAAUACCCAUUAUCCUCCUAGUAUUUGCUGCCUGUGAAACCGCAGUGGGCCUUGCCUUAUUAGUGUCAGUGUCCAACACAUACGGCCUAGAUUAUGCACAAAAUCUGUAUUUACCUUAAUGCUAAAAAUUAUUCCAACAAUUAUACUGUUACCACUAAUAUGAUUCUCUAAAAAUUAUAAAAUCUGAAUUAACAUGACCAUCCACAGCCUACUCAUCAGCCUCAUCACCCUAUUGUUUGUAACCAAUUCAACAAUUACUCAUCCAACUUCUCACUAGUUUUCUCUUCUGAUCUGCUGAUGUUACCCCUCCUAAUUCUAACAGCUCUUAGAAUCCUAGCAAACCAAUAUUAUCUGUUCAGUGAAUUACCCCCACGAAAAAAGCUCUAUAUUUCUAUAUUGAUUUCCCUGCAGAUUUUUUUAAAUUAUAGCAUUCGCAGCCACAGAACUAAUUAUAUUUUAUAUUUUCUUCGAAGCCACACUAAUUGCUACCCUAAUUAUUAUUACCUGCUGAGGGAACCAACCAGAACGCCUCAAUGCAAGCUCAUAUUUCCUAUUUUACACACUGGUAGGGUCCCUUCCUCUACUUGUUACACUUGUCUACCACUUUAAAUACUUCAGGUUCACUAAAUAUGCUAGUAAUGAUAUUUACUGACCAAGAACUAUUGACCUCCUGAUCCAAUAAUCUUAUAUGACUAGCAUGUAUUAUGGCCUUUAUAGUCAAAGUAACUCUAUACGGACUUCACCUGUGACUUCCUAAAGCCCAUGUAGAAGCCCCUAUUGCCGGCUCAAUAGUACUUGCAGCAGUACUCCUAAAACUAGGCGGUUGCGGUAUAACACGGCUUACCCUUAUCCUCAGCCCCCUAACAGAAUAUAUAGCCUACCCCUUCCUCAUACUGUCCCUAUGAGGGAUAGUUAUGACAAGCUCCAUUUGUCUACAACAAACCGAUCUAAAAUCACUUAUUGCCUACUCCUCCAUAAGCCAUAUACCACUUGUCAUCAUAGUCUCCUCAUCCAAACCCCUUGAAGUUUUACAGGUGCAGUCACCCUUAUGAUUACCCAUGGAGUCACUUCAUCCCUGUUAUUCUGCCUAGCAAAUUCCAACUAUGAGCCAGUCCACAGUGGAAUCAUCUUACUUACCCGAGGCCUUCAAAUACUACUUCCACUGAUAGCCUCAUGAUGACUUCUGGCAAAUCUCACUAACCUUGCCUUACCACUACCAUUAAAUCUAGCAGAGGAAGUCUGUGAUCAUGGCUUCAUUCUCCUGAUCAAAUAUCACUAUUAUGCUUACAGGACUUAAUAUGCUAAUUACAGCCCUCUACUCCCUAUGUAUACCAAUCACGACACAACAAGGGACACUUACAUAUUACAUUAACAGUAUUAAACCUUCCUUUACAUGAGAAAAUACAUUAAUAUUUAUACAUGUUACACCUAUUCUUCUAUUAUCCUAAAUCCUCAAAUUAUUAUGGGCUUUACAUGCUGUAGCUAUAGUUUAACCAAACCAUUAAAUUGUGGAUCUAAUAAUAGAAGCCUGCAACUUCUUAUCUACUGAGAAAGUAUGCAAGAACUGCUAACUCAUGCUCCCAUGCCUAACAACAUGGCUUUCUUAACUUUUAAAGGAUUGGAGUCAUCCAUUGGUCUUAGGAACCAAAAACAUUGGUGCAAUUCCAAAUAAAAGUAACAAAUAUGUAUUUUUCCAUUACUAUAAUUGCCCUAAUCCCCUUAAACACACCAAUUAUUAUUACCUUAGUCAGCCCCUGCAAAGAUUCAUACCCAAAUUACGUAAAAAUAGCCAUCACAUGCGCCUUCACUAUUAGCCUCAUCCCAACAACGUUUAUAUAUACAGACGAAGAAGUCAUUAUCUCAGACUGACAUUGAAUGACAAUCCAAAGUCUCACUAAGCUUUAGACUACUUCUCCAUAAUAUUUAUCCCAGUAGCACUAUUUGUUACCUGAUCUAUUGUAGAAUUCUCAAUAUGAUAUAUAAACUCAGACCCUAACAUUAAUCAGUUUUUUAGAUAUUUUCCUCAUUACAAUAUUCUGGUUACCGCCAACAACUUCUUUCAACUCUUUUAUUGGAUGAGAAGGUGUAGGAAUCAUGUCUUUCUUAUUAACUGGCUGAUUAUACGGCGGAGCAGAUGCUAAUACAGCAGCUCUCCAAGCAGUCCUGCACAAUCGCAUGGGUGAUACUGGCUUUAUUUAGCUAUAGUAUGAUUCCUCUUUUCCUCCCACACAUGAGAGAUUCAACAAGCAUUCAUUCUAAACCCUACCUCUAAUCUGCCCUUCCAUUAAUUCGCCUUCUUUUAGCAGAAGCAGGAAAGUCAGCUAAAUUCGGCCUCCAUCCCUGACUUCCAUCCGCCAUAGAAGGCCCAGCCCCAGUCUCAGCCCUGCUCCACUCCAGCACUAUAGUUGUAGCAGGAAUUUUCCUACUCAUCCGCUUCUACCCUUUAAUAGAAAAUAACCUCUGAACCCAAACCUUUACAUUAUCUCUAGGGGCUAUUACCACCUUAUUUACAGCAAUCUGUGCUCUAACACAAAGUGAUAUUUAAAAAACCAUAGCAUUCUCCACCUCAAGUCAGCUGGGCCUUAUGAUAGUCACAACUGGCAUUAAUCAGCCACACCUAGCAUUCCUUCACAUCUGCACCCAUGCCUUUUUUAAAGCUAUAUUAUUUAUAUGCUCAGGCUCCAUCAUCCACAAUCUCAAUGAUGAACAAGAUAUUAAAAAAAUAGGACUAUUCAAGACUUUACCCUUCACUUCCUCUUCCGUUAUUAUUGAUAGCCUUGCACUUACAGGUAUGCCUUUCCUCACAGGCUUUCAAAGACCUUAUUAUCGAAACUGCAAAUACUGUCAUAUACCAACCAACGCCUGAGCCCCUUCUAUUACUCUUACUGCCACCUCCUUAACAGCUGACUAUAGUACCCAUGUUAUUUUUUUUGCUCCGAGGACUGGCCACGCGGGGGUGGGAAGGGCCUGGGCCACGCCCGGGCCGCCGCCGCCACCCACGCGCGACGCUUGGGGGCCCUGCUGCAAAGCCCCUUUUUCUGGGGGCAGGGGGAGACGCUUCAUACCGCCCUGCCCAGCAGGGUUUCCAGGUCUGAGGUGCCCGCCCUGGCCCCAAGAGAAUGAACCAGCCGCAGAGGAUGGCGUCCGUGGACACGGACAAGAAGCUCAGUAACCUCCUGGACUUCAGCAUGAUGUUCCCGCUGCCCGUCGCCAACGGGAAGGGCCGGCCCGCCUCCCUGGCCGGGUCGCAAUUCAGAGGUUCAGGUCUUGAGGACCGGCCCAGCUCAGGCUCCUGGGGCAGUGGCGACCAGAACAGCUCCUCCUUUGACCCCAGCUGGACCUUCAGCGAAGGCGCUCACCUUGCUGAGUCGCAUAGCAGCCUCUCUUCAUCCACAUUCCUGAGACUGUGACUCUCUUGCCGGACGGCUAAGCCUCCUUUGGGAGAGACGCAGGCGUGGGCGGCCUGACUCAGGCUGGCUUCCUGCCGGGCGAGCUGGCCCUCAGCAGCCCCGGACCCCUGUUCCCUUCGGGCAUGAAGGCGACCUCCCAGUACUACCCCUCCUACGCCGGCAGCUCCGGCGGAGAGAGGCGGACGGCGGCCUGGACACGCAGUCCACAAAGGUCCAGAAGGUCCUGCCUGUCUUCCAUCCUCGGCGUACCUGCCCAGCUCAGGUGAGGACUACGGUAGGGAUGCCGCCGCCUACCUGUCCGCCAAGACCCCCAGCAGGGCCUAUCCCGCCCCCUUCUACAUGGCAGAUGGCAGGCAGCAUACACCCCUCAGCCCCUCAGCCGAGGUCUGGAGUUGCCCGGGUCAGGCGGGCUUUGGCCCCAUGCUGGGUGGGGGCUCAUCCCCGCCGCCUCUCCCGCCCAGCAGCUGCCCUGUGGGCAGUGGCAGAGGCAGCAGCACAUUUGGUGGCCUGCACCAGCACGAGCGCAUGGGCUACCAGCUGCACAGAGCAGAGGUGAACGGCGGUCUCCCAGCUGCAUCCACCUUCUCCUUGGCCCCCUGGAGCUGGAGCGUCUCCAGCCACAGGCCACCUGUCAGCGGGGCCAACAUAUUCCUGGGCUCGCGAGGGACCACAGCUGGCAGCUCCGGGGACGCCCUCAGGCAGGCAUGUCCUCAAUCUACUCCCCGGAUCACUCAAGCAAUAGCUUCUCGUCCAGCUCCUCCACUGCUGUGGGCUACCCCCAGGGUCUGGGAGGGAUGUCGCACUGACCCGGAACAGGAGUCCCCGGUGCCUUAUCACCCAGCUACGACCGGGAUUUCCAUGGCGUGCAGAGUAAGACAGAAGACCACCUGAACAAGGCCAUCCACGUGCUCUGCAGCCACACCGUGGGCACGGCCGGCAAUGGGCCCACGCUGCUGCCCGGCCACAGGGCGCUGGCUUAGGCUUCGCCGGCCCUAUGCUGCUAGUGGGGGCAGCACGCAGGCCUGGUCAGAGGCUGACACCCUGAGGACGGCCCUGUGGGCAGCGCCAGCCUCAUGCACAUCCACAUGGCCCUCUCCAGCUAGCCAGGCGCCCUCCCCGACCUCUCUUGGCCUCCCGACUCCUACAGUGGGCUAGGGCAAGCAGGCCAUUGGCGAAAUCAAGCCAGAGGAGGAGGAUGAGGAGAAUACAUCGGCGGCUGACCACUCGAGGAGAAGGAGCUGAAGGACCCCCAGGUCCGGACCAGCCCAGACGAGGACGAGGACAAAGAUGACCUUCUCCCCCGAGAGCAGAAGGCCGAGCACGAGAAGGAGCGCCAGGUGGCCAAUAACGCCAGGGAGCAACUGCGGGUCCCUUGAGAGGCCUCUUAAGGAGCUGGGGGCACAUGUAGCAACUGGACUCAACAGCGAGAAGCCCCAGACCAAACUGCUUAUCCUGCACGAGGCCCUCUCGGUCAUGCUGAACUUGGAGCAGCAAGUGCGAGAGCAGAACGUGAAUCCAAAACAGCCUGUUUGAAAUGGUGAGGUGUCGGGCGUGUUCGGAGACCCCCAGAUGGUGCUUUCAGCUGCGCACCUGGGCCUGAGCAAAGCCCACAACCCCACCGGGCACAUGUGAAAGGUACGCCUCUGUGGGACAAGCCACUGGCCCUCAGCCCGGUGGGCUGGGCCCAGAACGCCUACUGGAGGCCCUGGGCUUCAUCCACAUCCCCACCUCACACAACUGUUCUCAGCAUUGAGCCAACAUCGACCUGAUUAGGCUCAGAGUGAUGGGGUCAAGGAAGGUGACUCUGGGUCCAGGAGCUCCCUGGGACCCUGGCUCACCUCCCACUGGCCUUGCUCCCCUUGCCCCCAAAUCUCAGUCACCAUGUCACCCUGUGACCUGCCCCAUGGAUCCUGAAACUGCGUCUUAGCCCUGUUGUCUGGGCUGACAGGAGCUUUUUUUUUUUUUCAGUAAACAAAAUCUGAAAGCAAGUAACAGAACAUACAGUUUGUCAGAAAAGAAAAAAAAUGCCUUAACUAUAAAAUGUGGAGACAUCAUAACAUAUCACUUGAGGGAGAUGCUGUGAAAACUUGGCUUAUUCUUCAAAAGCCAGCAGCAAAUUGUGCCUAGGCAUAAUUUAAGGAAAAUGAAAAGAACAUUAGUUAUCAAGAAAAAAAAAAAAAAAGCUGGACUGACCUGGGCCAGGCUGGACCAGAUUGGCCUAGAGGACUUCAGAGGGCUACUCCCCUGGUAGGCCAGUCUCAGCUGACCUUCACUGUCCUGCCUCCAGACAGGGCCCAUCUGUCUUCCCCUUGUUCCCCUCCUGCAAAGACAUUGCCUCCGAUGCCACCUCCAUGACCCUGGGCUGCCUGGCCACAGGCUAGUUCCUGAAGCCGGUGACUGUGACCUGGGACACAGGCUACCUCAACAGGAGUGCUGUGACCUUCCCAGCCACCACCCUCACACCCUCUGGCCACUAGGCCACCACCAGCCAUCUGACCACCUCAGGUGCAUGGACCAAGCAAAUGUUCACCUGUAGCGUGGUACACACUCUGUGGUCUGCAGACCAGGUCAGUACCUUCAGCGUCUACUCUAGGGACUUCGCCCUGCCCACCAUGAAGAUCUUACAGUCCUGUGAUGGCAGUGGACACUUCCCCCCGACCAUCCAGUUCCUGUGCCUCAUUUCCGGGUACACCCCAGGUGCCAUCACCUGGCUGGAGGAUGGGCAGGUCGUGGAUGUGAACUGCUCUAUUGCCUCUCCCAUGCUGGAGGGCGAGCUGGCCUCCACACAAAGCAAGCUCACCCUCACCCAGAAGCUUUGGCUGCCCGACCACACCUACACCUGCCAGGUCACCUAUCAAGGUAAUGCCUUUGAGGACAGUGCCAAGAAGCAUGCAGAUUCCAACCCGCAAGGGGUGAGUGCCUACCUGAGCUAGCCCAGCCCCUUCUACCUGUUCAUCCGCAAGUUGCCCACAAUCACCUGUCUGGUGGUGGACCUGGCACCUAGCAAGGGGACCGUGAAGCUGACCUGGUCCCGGGCCAGUGGGAAGUCCGUGGCCCAGGUCCUCCUAAGGCAAGAGAAGCAGUGCAGUGGCACGUUCAUCAUCACGUCCACUCUGCUGGUGGGCACCAGAGACUGGAUCGAGGGGGAGACCUACCAGUGCAGGGUGACCCACCUCCACCUGCCCAGGGCCCUUGUGCAGUCCAUGACCAAGAUCAGCGACCGCUGUGCUCCCCCAGAGGUCUACGGGUUUGCAAUGCUAGAAGAGCCGAGGAACCCAGACAAGCGCACCCUCACCUGCCUGAUCCAGAACUUCUAGCCCAAGGACAUCUUGGUGCAGUUGCUGCACAACAAGGUGCAGCUCCCAGACGCCUGGCACAGCAUGACGCAGCCCUGCAAAACCAAGGGCUCUGGCUUCUUAGUCUUCAGCUGCCUGGAGGUGACCAGGGCCGAAUGGGAACAGAAAAAUGAGUUCAUCUGCCCUGUGGUCCAUGAGAUGGUGACUGGCUCACAGACCGUCAAGAAGCUGGUGUCUGUAAAUCCCAUUAAAUGUCCUCCUGCCUUCCUCCCCACUAGGGCUUUGUCCAGCUGUGUGGUAGGAAGAGCUGGCCACUGUUGGUAGGAAGAGCUGACCUUCUGUCCACUGUUGCAACGACCCCAGGAGGCCACCCCCAAUAAACAGUGCCUGCUCAGAAACAAACAAACAAACAAACA
Molecule: non-coding RNA, 7904 nt
Organism: Macaca mulatta (Rhesus monkey)
Lineage: Eukaryota; Metazoa; Chordata; Mammalia; Primates; Cercopithecidae
Source: RefSeq, a predicted model, not a curated record